This 327-nucleotide ribosomal RNA is filed under the name uncultured eukaryote. RNAcentral's name for it is "partial 18S ribosomal RNA". It matches the Rfam family "Eukaryotic small subunit ribosomal RNA", at positions 1470 to 1796 of the family's 1831-position model. The record is from RNAcentral.
CCCUUAGAUGUUCUGGGCCGCACCCGCGCUACACUGAAGGAGGCAGCGUGUACUCCUGGAUCGAAAGAUUUGGGUAACCCGCGAAUCUCCUUCGUGCUAGGGAUUGAGGUUUGCAAUUAUCCUUCAUGAACGAGGAAUUCCCAGUAAGUGCAAGUCAUAAGCUUGCGCUGACUACGUCCCUGCCCUUUGUACACACCGCCCGUCGCUACUACCGAUUGAAUGAUUUAGUGAGGACUUCGGACUGGGACCGAUGCGGCUUUCGGGCUGCGUCGGUAUUCUGGAAAGAUGUCCAAACUGUAUCAUUUAGAGGAAGUAAAAGUCGUANCA